GAGGAAUUUUCCGCAAUGGUCGCAAGACUGACGGAGCAACGCCGCGUGCAGGAGGACGCUUUUCGGAGUGUAAACUGCUUUUCUGUGGGACGAGGAUGGACGGUACCACAGGAAGAAGCCCCGGCUAACUCCGUGCCAGCAGCCGCGGUAAUACGGAGGGUGCGAGCGUUGUCCGGAAUCAUUGGGCGUAAAGGGCGCGUAGGUGGCCCGGUCAGUCUUUGGUGAAAGCGCGGGGCUCAACCCUGCGUCGGCCAGGGAUACUGCCGCGGCUGGAGCACUGUAGAGGCAGGCGGAAUUCCGGGUGUAGCGGUGGAAUGCGUAGAGAUCCGGAAGAACACCGGUGGCGAAGGCGGCCUGCUGGGCAGUUGCUGACACUGAGGCGCGACAGCGUGGGGAGCAAAC
This 402-nucleotide ribosomal RNA is filed under the name uncultured bacterium. Its description in RNAcentral is "bacterial SSU rRNA". It matches the Rfam family "Bacterial small subunit ribosomal RNA", at positions 356 to 773 of the family's 1533-position model. The record is from RNAcentral.